Molecule: ribosomal RNA, 384 nt
Filed under: Micrococcus sp. R-22833
Lineage: Bacteria; Bacillati; Actinomycetota; Actinomycetes; Micrococcales; Micrococcaceae
Description: bacterial SSU rRNA
Rfam family: Bacterial small subunit ribosomal RNA
Source: RNAcentral
GAUGAACGCUGGCGGCGUGCUUAACACAUGCAAGUCGAACGAUGAAGCCCAGCUUGCUGGGUGGAUUAGUGGCGAACGGGUGAGUAACACGUGAGUAACCUGCCCUUAACUCUGGGAUAAGCCUGGGAAACUGGGUCUAAUACCGGAUAGGAGCGCCUACCGCAUGGUGGGUGUUGGAAAGAUUUAUCGGUUUUGGAUGGACUCGCGGCCUAUCAGCUUGUUGGUGAGGUAAUGGCUCACCAAGGCGACGACGGGUAGCCGGCCUGAGAGGGUGACCGGCCACACUGGGACUGAGACACGGCCCAGACUCCUACGGGAGGCAGCAGUGGGGAAUAUUGCACAAUGGGCGCAAGCCUGAUGCAGCGACGCCGCGUGAGGGAUGAC